AACGAACGCUGGCGGCAGGCCUAACACAUGCAAGUCGAGCGAGGACGUCGGGCCUAUCUGCGGAGGGGGGGGGAAGGCGGGGGAAGGUGCCCUUGGGUACGGAAUAGCCGUGGGAGAGAUGGAUUAAUACCGGAUGAGCUCUUAGGGGGAAAGAGUUGUCGGCGCAGGCUCGGGCCGCGUAGGAUUAGGUAGUUGGGGGUGUAAUGGCCGACCAAGACGACGAUCCAUGGCUGGUUGGAGAGGAUGCUCAGCCACGCUGGGACUGCGACACGGGCCAGACGCCUACGGGAGGCAGCAGUGGGUAGUCUUAGACGCUGGGGCCAGAUCUGAUCUAGCCACGCGCGGUGAGAGAUGAAGGCCUUAGGGUUGUAAAGCUCUCUGAGCCGGGAAGAUAGUGACGGUAACAGCAGAAGAAGCCCCGGCUAACUCCGUG
RNAcentral lists this ribosomal RNA (433 nucleotides) under uncultured bacterium. Its description in RNAcentral is "partial 16S ribosomal RNA". It matches the Rfam family "Bacterial small subunit ribosomal RNA", at positions 28 to 507 of the family's 1533-position model. The record is from RNAcentral.